GCGUCAAGCGCGGCGGUGACGCGGGCACGUUUUUCCGCGACGUGCUGGAAGCCAGGCUCGCCGCGUUCAAUUCGUGGCUGACGGC
RNAcentral lists this transfer RNA (85 nucleotides) under Betaproteobacteria bacterium. RNAcentral's name for it is "tRNA-Gly". The record is from RNAcentral. Lineage: Bacteria; Pseudomonadati; Pseudomonadota; Betaproteobacteria.